Molecule: long non-coding RNA, 644 nt
Filed under: Macaca fascicularis (crab-eating macaque)
Lineage: Eukaryota; Metazoa; Chordata; Mammalia; Primates; Cercopithecidae
Description: lncRNA (ENSMFAG00000051404.1)
Source: RNAcentral
CCACUCCUGAGCUUAGUGGGUUUCUAAGAAAAUAGAAUUGAAAGAAGAACUUGAAUCAGAAAUAAAAGGAAUUCUCUCACCACAUUUUUCAGGGACUCAAGAAAGCAAAAUUUCAUCAGAAUAGAUUUGAGAAAACAAUAUCCAAUCAGGUGGAUUUGAUUCACUUAUUCAUUUUAUAGUUGCAUUUUCAAAUUUGAAGAAUUUUGCAUUAUUCCUAGUUUUUAAUUUGGACUGAAUAUAGUCCUAAGAGAUCUGAAAAACAGAUAUAUUUUGAAGAUUGGCUUAUACAUUCAUAGGAAACCCAGGAAGUGAGUAGACACUAAAUCCUAGAGAUAAUGAAGUUUUCUAACUGAAACAGCUUGUUUUCUUAGUAAAUUCAGACUGACAAUGGAAAGCAAAAUAAACUGAAACGUCAGAAUUGAGAGAGCCGUCUAGAGAAUUCCAGCAUCCCACUUGUCAGCUGGUAGAGUCUAUUUGUGGCCGUGUUCCACGCCUGCAGGAGAAGAAAGCGGUGACCACACUCAAUCUAAAAUGGAGGAAUCCACAAUCAGCUAGAUCCAGUUACAAAUGAGAGAGCUGGUGGGAGCCACUGGGAGAUGCCUGAGCAGAACUAAGUUUAGAAGCUCUGAUGAAUGAAAGAUCCC